GUGUCAGUCAUUUUAUUAGAGCAAGAGCAGACGUUUCCGUUCUGGAGGGGACAGAAGGACAAUGAAUGCAAGUUUAGUUUUUACUAUGGAAUUUUACAUGUCCCUGAUAUGUAGACUUAAUUAUGCAGAACAGUGCCCUGGCCGAUUAAUAAAGAGGUCUUCUCUAUUGCUGUGAUACGGCCCCACUUCUGAGAGUCCACACAGGGACAUGGACGGAGGGUCAGAGAGCUCUCGGAAUUCAUCAAAGAUCUUGAUUUCUGUUCUGAACAUGAACAAAUGUGUUACAGGAAUGGAACGGCAAGAGGGUGAGUAAUGACAGAAUUUUUAUUUUUGGGUGAACUAUCCCUUUAAAGGACAGUAUUUUCCAGGUUAUACUAUUAUAGGUUGUCAAAUUGGUUUGACAACAAACAAGAACUGGUUUGUUAAGUGUCAAAGGCCUACAAGACCCAACCAGCUUGACCAAGAUAGUCUUGUGGCGCAGUCAGGUACCCGUUUCUAUCCUAAUGUUCAUACUUUAAUCAGAGGAGCUGUCGAUACCUACUGAUUGAUAAAAGGGUUAUAGCGGAAGGAAGCCAUCUUGAACUCAUAACCCUUCAUUACACAAUGUCAAUGAGAUAGAGGUAAUUAUAGAGGACUGCAGUGGUGAAGCACCAGUUAUCUGCACAAAAAGGCAGAUCUGUGACAGAACUCCAUUUCCCAUCAUCCCUGUCUUCCUCCAGCCUGAAGAGCUUUCUAGCAGCAUCUGUUUCCAGGUCCUUCCUUGAGGUCAAGUUCUCCUUCCUCAAGCAGCAUAAGUGUGGAGUUCCAUUUGACCUUAAUUUAAAUGGCUUUGCUUUAAGGUGUGGAUCCAAGCCCUUGCUCAGGUGUGGACGCUCCAGUAGAUACUUGCUCAGAAUAGAUUAGCACAGUCUCUUGGAGCUUCUCAGCAGGCUGCAGAUAGCCCAAGCAGGUGCGCUCCAUUAAGGCCUGAGAGAGGGCAAUCAGUAGACGAUUGGUAAACCCGGAAGCAAGCAGGUAGGUGCUCACCCAUAGGUGUUCCACAAGGAGGUCUUCAGGAACUCAGAAAUGCUGAAGGAAGCACAAUUGUAGCAGGAUGUGAAAGACAGGGGAGGGAACAUGUUCAAAAUGCACCAACUGUUCAGACAUCCCUCUAAUGCAGGAGUGGGAAGGAGACUUGAAAUACUUGCUGCAGUCUGCAAGCUUCUCCAGAUCCUCCUAGAAGUCCUGUACUCUUGAUUUGUUCUCCAGAAGUCUGACUGUAGGUUAUCAGACCCCUCUUGUACAGCAUCAGAAUCUGCCCGUCUGAACUGAAUCCAGUUUAAACUACCUUUUGAAGCUUGAAUCUUUUCUAAACUUCUUUUCUUUUCAGCCAUGUGCAAAUGAACAUUAAUGCAACAACUAUAACCUGCCAUUGUUUAGCCAUGUUCCCAUUUAGGCAGAAUACUCUAAAUACUUGUACGACUUAAAGGUAUGCCUCUUCCGCUGCAAUUUGAAUGUAGUUCAAAUUCUGUAAUUGGAAACUUUCUUGACUGUCAUUCUAAAAAAAAA
Molecule: long non-coding RNA, 1548 nt
Organism: Carassius auratus (goldfish)
Lineage: Eukaryota; Metazoa; Chordata; Actinopteri; Cypriniformes; Cyprinidae
Exons: 2
Source: RefSeq, a predicted model, not a curated record